UAUGGAGAGUUUGAUCCUGGCUCAGAGUGAACGCUGGCGGCGUGCCUAAUACAUGCAAGUCGAACGGACAAGUAAGAGCUUGCUCUUAUGAGUUAGUGGCGCACGGGUGAGUAAUGUAUAGCUAAUCUGCCCUACACUAGAGGACAACAGUUGGAAACGACUGCUAAUACUCUAUACUCCUCUCUAGCAUAAGUUAGAUAGGGAAAGUUUUUCGGUGUAGGAUGAGGCUAUAUUGUAUCAGCUAGUUGGUGAGGUAAUGGCUCACCAAGGCUAUGACGCAUAACUGGUCUGAGAGGAUGAUCAGUCACACUGGAACUGAGACACGGUCCAGACUCCUACGGGAGGCAGCAGUAGGGAAUAUUGCUCAAUGGGGGAAACCCUGAAGCAGCAACGCCGCGUGGAGGAUGACACUUUUCGGAGCGUAAACUCCUUUUGUUAGGGAAGAACAAUGACGGUACCUAAC
This 463-nucleotide ribosomal RNA is filed under the name Corynebacterium sp. BCW_4722. RNAcentral describes it as "bacterial SSU rRNA". It matches the Rfam family "Bacterial small subunit ribosomal RNA", at positions 1 to 483 of the family's 1533-position model. The record is from RNAcentral. Lineage: Bacteria; Bacillati; Actinomycetota; Actinomycetes; Mycobacteriales; Corynebacteriaceae.